UACGUAGGGUGCAAGCGUUCAUCGGAAUUACUGGGCGUAAAGCGUGCGCAGGCGGUGAUGUAAGACAGGUGUGAAAUCCCCGGGCUUAACCUGGGAACUGCAUUUGUGACUGCAUCGCUGGAGUGCGGCAGAGGGGGAUGGAAUUCCGCGUGUAGCAGUGAAAUGCGUAGAUAUGCGGAGGAACACCGAUGGCGAAGGCAAUCCCCUGGGCCUGCACUGACGCUCAUGCACGAAAGCGUGGGGAGCAAACAGG
Molecule: ribosomal RNA, 253 nt
Filed under: uncultured bacterium
Lineage: Bacteria
Description: partial 16S ribosomal RNA
Rfam family: Bacterial small subunit ribosomal RNA
Source: RNAcentral